This 497-nucleotide ribosomal RNA is filed under the name uncultured bacterium. Its description in RNAcentral is "partial 16S ribosomal RNA". It matches the Rfam family "Bacterial small subunit ribosomal RNA", at positions 28 to 507 of the family's 1533-position model. The record is from RNAcentral.
GAUGAACGCUGGCGGCGUGCCUAAUACAUGCAAGUCGAGCGAACAGAUGAGGAGCUUGCUCCUCUGACGUUAGCGGCGGACGGGUGAGUAACACGUGGAUAACCUACCUAUAAGACUGGGAUAACUUCGGGAAACCGGAGCUAAUACCGGAUAAUAUAUUGAACCGCAUGGUUCAAUAGUGAAAGACGGUUUUGCUGUCACUUAUAGAUGGAUCCGCGCCGCAUUAGCUAGUUGGUAAGGUAACGGCUUACCAAGGCAACGAUGCGUAGCCGACCUGAGAGGGUGAUAGGCCACACUGGAACUGAGACACGGUCCAGACUCCUACGGGAGGCAGCAGUAGGGAAUCUUCCGCAAUGGGCGAAAGCCUGAAGGAGCAACGCCGCGUGAGUGAUGAAGGUCUUCGGAUCGUAAAACUCUGUUAUUAGGGAAGAACAAAUGUGUAAGUAACUAUGCACGUCUUGACGGUACCUAAUCAGAAAGCCACGGCUAACUACGUG